GAUGAACGCUGGCGGCGUGCUUAACACAUGCAAGUCGAACGGUGAAGGCGGAGCUUGCUCUGCUGGAUCAGUGGCGAACGGGUGAGUAACACGUGAGCAAUCUGCCCCUGACUCUGGGAUAAGCGCUGGAAACGGCGUCUAAUACUGGAUACGAGCUGCGAAGGCAUCUUCAGCAGCUGGAAAGAAUUUCGGUCAGGGAUGAGCUCGCGGCCUAUCAGCUUGUUGGUGAGGUAAUGGCUCACCAAGGCGUCGACGGGUAGCCGGCCUGAGAGGGUGACCGGCCACACUGGGACUGAGACACGGCCCAGACUCCUACGGGAGGCAGCAGUGGGGAAUAUUGCACAAUGGGCGAAAGCCUGAUGCAGCAACGCCGCGUGAGGGACGACGGCCUUCGGGUUGUAAACCUCUUUUAGCAGGGAAGAAGCGAAAGUGACGGUACCCGCAGAAAAAGCGCCGGCUAACUACGUG
This 468-nucleotide ribosomal RNA is filed under the name uncultured bacterium. RNAcentral's name for it is "partial 16S ribosomal RNA". It matches the Rfam family "Bacterial small subunit ribosomal RNA", at positions 28 to 507 of the family's 1533-position model. The record is from RNAcentral.